RNAcentral lists this RNase P RNA (412 nucleotides) under Algoriphagus sediminis. RNAcentral describes it as "RNase P RNA component class A". It matches the Rfam family "Bacterial RNase P class A". Rfam says of the family: Ribonuclease P (RNase P) is a ubiquitous endoribonuclease, found in archaea, bacteria and eukarya as well as chloroplasts and mitochondria. Its best characterised activity is the generation of mature 5'-ends of tRNAs by cleaving the 5'-leader elements of precursor-tRNAs. The record is from RNAcentral. Lineage: Bacteria; Pseudomonadati; Bacteroidota; Cytophagia; Cytophagales; Cyclobacteriaceae.
AGUGCAAGUCGGCUUGUCGCUCCGUUCCGAAUUAAUCGGAAUCGGUGAGGAAAGUCCGGGCAACAUAGAGCACCAUACUUCCUAACGGGAAGGGCUUUGGCUGGUGACAGCCAAAGUACAGAUAGUGCCACAGAAAAUAUACCGCCAUGAAGUAAAGCGACGCUUUCACUUCACGGUAAGGGUGAAAAGGUGAGGUAAGAGCUCCCCGCUUUGGCAGUGAUGUCGAAGGCAUGGCAAACCUUAUGGGUUGAAAGAUCAAAUAGGCUCCGGGCAAAACGCUGCUCGUGUGAUUUCUGACUUGUCAGAAUUCCGGAGUGGGUAGAUCGAUAGAGGCUGAGUGUGAACUCAGUCCCAGAUAAAUGACAAGAUUCCUUUAGGGAAACAGAACCCGGCUUACAGACUUGCACAUUUU